GGUUGUGAAAAUGCUACGAAAUUUAGAUUAUAUUUAUCUGGGGUCUACAACCAAAGGAUGAUGGGACAUGCAACAAACUACUUUUUCAAUUUGAUUGUAAAGUAAAAUGGCUGUUUUUUUUUGGGUUUUUUUUUUUUAGCAUCUCUGUUCAAACGUACUUUGGUCUAAUAUUUUCAGGUUCUCUUUGGAUUGCCAAAUAAUAUUAUAAUCACCUAAUUGAAUGUUCAAAUUAUUUUGCAGUGAUGUUCUGUAUGGAAGAAAGACAGUAAUAAAAUCCAACAGUUCCGGAUGGCCCGUUAAACUAAUUGCUUAACAUCAAUAACGAUGUAAGAUUCAAGUGUCUGAUCCAGCACAAGUUUAGCCAGAUUUUCCACACUAGACAGUGUCUGGCAUUGAAAGGAUAUCAAACUGAUGUUUUAUGGAAUGAUUCUCACGUACAUAUGACAAUCAUAUGCAUAGGAAUGUGGAGCUAGACUCUUUCAUGCAACAAUUUUUAUUUUCCAAUAUAAAC
Molecule: long non-coding RNA, 511 nt
Filed under: Mytilus galloprovincialis (Mediterranean mussel)
Lineage: Eukaryota; Metazoa; Mollusca; Bivalvia; Mytilida; Mytilidae
Source: RNAcentral